RNAcentral lists this ribosomal RNA (497 nucleotides) under uncultured bacterium. RNAcentral's name for it is "partial 16S ribosomal RNA". It matches the Rfam family "Bacterial small subunit ribosomal RNA", at positions 28 to 507 of the family's 1533-position model. The record is from RNAcentral.
GAUGAACGCUGGCGGCGUGCCUAAUACAUGCAAGUCGAGCGAACGGACGAGAAGCUUGCUUCUCUGAUGUUAGCGGCGGGCGGGUGAGUAACACGUGGAUAACCUACCUAUAAGACUGGGAUAACUUCGGGAAACCGUAGCUAAUACCGGAUAAUAUUUUGAACCGCAUGGUUCAAAAGUGAAAGACGGUCUUGCUGUCCCUUAUAGAUAGAUCCGCGCUGCAUUAGCUAGUUGGUAAGGUAACGGCUUACCAAGGCAACGAUGCAUAGCCAACCUGAGAGGGUGAUCGGCCACACUGGAACUGAGACACGGUCCAGACUCCUACGGGAGGAAGCAGUAGGGAAUCUUCCGCAAUGGGCGAAAGCCUGACGGAGCAACGCGGCGUGAGUGAGGAAGGUCUUCGGAUCGUAAAACCCUGUUAUUAGGGAAGAACAUAUGUGUAAGUAACUGUGCACAUCUUGACGGUACCUAAUCAGAAAGCCACGGCUAACUACGUG